GACGAACGCUGGCGGCGCGCUUAACACAUGCAAGUCGAGCGAGAACCAGGGCUUCGGCCCUGGGGACAGCGGCGAACGGGUGAGUAACACGUGGGUAAUCCACCCUCGGCACCGGAAUAGCCCGGGGAAACCCGGAUUAAUGCCGGAUGGCCCGCCGGCCCCGCGGGGCUGGCGGAAAAGGUAGCUUCGGCCUCCGGCCGAGGACGAGCCCGCGACGGAUUAGCUUGUUGGUGGGGUAACGGCCUACCAAGGCUGCGAUCCGUAGCUGGUCUGAGAGGACGAUCAGCCACACUGGGACUGAGACACGGCCCAGACUCCUACGGGAGGCAGCAGUGGGGAAUCUUGCGCAAUGGGCGAAAGCCUGACGCAGCGACGCCGCGUGGGGGAAGAAGGCCUUCGGGUUGUAAACCUCUUUCAGGAGGGACGAAGCCACUCGGGUUAAUAGCCCAGAGGGUGACGGUACCUCCAGAAGAAGCCCCGGCUAACUACGUGCCAGCAGCCGCAGUAA
This 508-nucleotide ribosomal RNA is filed under the name uncultured bacterium. RNAcentral's name for it is "bacterial SSU rRNA". It matches the Rfam family "Bacterial small subunit ribosomal RNA", at positions 28 to 523 of the family's 1533-position model. The record is from RNAcentral.